This 1512-nucleotide long non-coding RNA is filed under the name Dromaius novaehollandiae (emu). Its description in RNAcentral is "lncRNA (ENSDNVG00000001401.1)". Lineage: Eukaryota; Metazoa; Chordata; Aves; Casuariiformes; Dromaiidae. The record is from RNAcentral.
GCGCCCGGGGCUUCGAGGGCAUCGCGCGGCGCCUGUGGCCGCAGCUGCAGGUGGUGGUGCUGGGGAUGGCGCAUGGAGGGGAGCGGCUCUACUGCGAUGCCCUGCGGCAGGAGGACUGCAAGGGGCUCCCCUUCUACUGCCCCUUCUACCGGGCGGCCGGAGGUGAGUGUCCCCGGCCGGGGACCCGCUGCGGGGACCCACCGCUGCACGGCAGCGCAAACCCUCCUCGCCCUACCCCAGGAGCGGUGCAUCUCCCUGCAACGCUCCUCGACGGAGACCCGCGGGCUUCUCCGAAAACGGCCGCGUUUGGGACCGUUUCCUCCCCUCGGAGCGGGCGAGUGGGGCGCCGGCGGGGCCGGGGUUCUCCGCUGACCGGCACCGCCUCUCCGCGCAGCGCUGCUCGGCGUGAACCUGUGGCCGGAGGAGCUGAGCGCCCGCUUUCUGCUCUGCCCCGACUGGGCCUUCUGCGAGUUCCUGCCCUGCGCGGCUGAGGAGGCGACGGCGACGGCGACGGCGCUGCUGGGGGAGCUCUGGGAGGGCCGGGAGUACGGGCUGGUCCUCACCGCCCGGCCCGGCGAGUACAGGUGCCGCGCGGGAGAGGUGCUGCGGGUGGCCGGGUUUCACAAGCAGUGUCCCGUGGUGGAGCCCGUGCGCAGGGAGAGCCAGACGCUGAGCGUGCGGGGCGAGAGCAUCCCCGAGGAGCGGUUUCUGCAGAGCCUGCGCCGCGCCGUGGCCCUGUGGCCGGGGGCUCGCCUGGUCGACUACGUGUGCGUGGAGAGCGUCCUGCUGGGCGCCUCCUCGGGGGCCUGCGCCCCCCAUUACCAGGUGUUCGUGGAGCUGCGGGGCCUGCGGGACCUGUCGGAGGGGCAGCGCUACAAGCUGGACCACUGCCUCCAGGAGGAUUUCCCCACCUACAAGUCCUUCCGCUUCAAGGGCAGCAUUGGGCCCCUGCGGCUGCACCUGGUGGCGGCGGGGGCCUUCGCCCGGCUGCGGGAGGCCGCGGGCCGCCCCCGGCCCAUGCCCAGGGUGCUGCGGGAGAGGCGGCUGCUCGCCGCCAUCCAGAGCGCCGUCGUCUCCUAGGGCGGCCCGGGCUCCCCGCGGCCUGGCUGCCACUCGGAGGACGCGCCCCGCGGCCGGCACGGCCCGUCCUUGCACGGCGAGGGCCUGGGGACCCGCCAUGCGCGGCGGUGGGGCAGCGCUCGAGCACAUCCCGCCCGGCACCCCGGCUCCGGACGGCAGGGGCUGCCCGGUGGCACAGGCGCUGCCGGGCCCUGCCGAGGCUGCAGCGCGGAUGCGGAGGGGCGCGUGGUUUCCCCCCCCGCGCGGGGACACAAGGCAGCGCCCCRAUAACCCGCCGAGCCCCGCUGCCGGGUUGGGGCCAGACCGCGGCUGCUCCCACGUGGGAGCCGCCUCUGAGCCGGGCUCCAGGGAAUUUCCGCUGGUUUAGGAAACAAUAAGGGCUGCUUUUAAUAUUAAAAAAAAAGAAGUGAAAUAAAGGAGGAUUAUCUCUCA